Molecule: long non-coding RNA, 444 nt
Organism: Mauremys mutica (yellowpond turtle)
Lineage: Eukaryota; Metazoa; Chordata; Testudines; Geoemydidae
Exons: 4
Source: RefSeq, a predicted model, not a curated record
CCCAGGUACUAGGAUUCAAGCAGUGGCCCGGCUUCCAAGCCAGGCCUGGGAAAGAAAAACCCCAGGGAGGAGCAAGAUAGACUCUCAAGGACCCACAGGAGCAGACUUACUGGCUUGGAGCCUCAGCAGGGACCAGGGGACACCUCAUCUCAGACUGCUUUCUACAGGUUUGGUUACAGAUGGUGAAUUGAGGCACAGAGUGACUAAGGAGCACUAGGAAUAGACAGUUGUGAACUUUGCGAGAUGCAGGAAGAAAUUGGAAACAGCCAGAUGCUUUUCAAACCUGCACUGGAUCCCUACUUCUGAGGUGGUCAAGCGUGCAUGGGAGAGAAAAAUACAGGUUGCAAAGGAGAAUUAAAAUGCUAAUACUGAAGGAUAAUAGUGCAGGAGAAUCAGAAGAGGGAAACUCACUAGUCUUUCCAUUGUUCAAGCUGCCUACAGUGC